GGCUACUGAAGAAAAAUGGCGGCGCAACAUGGUUCAUGGAUACGUCGUAAAAGUAUUUUAAUGUCAUGGGCGGACUCCGUGGAAGAGGACCCGCUCCCAUAAACUGAAUGCCCGCUCCCCGUGCAGAUAGAAAUGGCUCAGUCCAAGCCAACGAAAACAGCGAUUAAUACUUGCAGGUUUUUGGCUUCCAGAAUCACCACUGUCAGCUUCCCCGCAGUGGGCACAUACCUCAAGGACAAACAUAUGUCUCCGAGCCGCUCGCUCUGACACAGAGAAAAAAGAGCGUGCUCCUACCUCCUCCUUCUCUGCCUUCUGCAAGUCCCUCCACUCCUGCAGGGACUGGCUGAAGUCCACACUGCUCAUCGG
Molecule: long non-coding RNA, 366 nt
Organism: Lates calcarifer (barramundi perch)
Lineage: Eukaryota; Metazoa; Chordata; Actinopteri; Centropomidae
Exons: 3
Source: RefSeq, a predicted model, not a curated record